Non-coding RNA from Zea mays, 196 nucleotides. The record is from Rfam. NCBI's taxonomy places the organism in Eukaryota, Viridiplantae, Streptophyta, Magnoliopsida, Poales, Poaceae.
AUUUCUCGGCCUUUUGACUAAGAUAAGGUGUAAUAUUUGUUUUUAUCAAUUUAAUAUCUAAUAUGUAGACUAUAUGUUCACUUUAAUAUUAAAUUUAUUUUUUAUAGAUAUCAAAUAUGAUUUUGUGUUGUCGCAACGUACAAACAUUGUAUUAGUGGUUCUGUACGUCACGGUUACAGAUAGUGCUGGACAAAAU